Molecule: long non-coding RNA, 491 nt
Organism: Dreissena polymorpha
Lineage: Eukaryota; Metazoa; Mollusca; Bivalvia; Myida; Dreissenidae
Exons: 5
Source: RefSeq, a predicted model, not a curated record
GUAUCUUCAGUUUUGUUUUCUUAUCGGGAGAUAAAGAGCUGAUCAAAUGCUGUAGUAUAAAUGAGUGAGCCGAACUGCACGAUUUUUAGUGAGAUUCAAAGAUCUGAAUUAGGAUUGCACAACAGACAGAGCGCCUAAACUUUAUUUCUAGUAAACGUUUGCACCAUGAAUCUCCUGCUCGCAUUCCUCUGUCUCCUUCCCCUCGUUUUGUGUGCAAGCAUACCGGACGGGUCCGCGGUCGACAUCAAAGAGAGGUUCAUAUUCUUCUCUACUUAGGACUGGUUCACAUUUCCUACCUUCGGUACAUUUCCGGAAGUUAAAAAAGAUUUAGGAAUGGCGCAGGACGUCAGAAAAUAAUAGCAGCGACGUGGGAAGCACGUGAUUAAAAGAGUCUUCUUACAGUUAUGUUUUGACCAUACAUAUAACAAAGAAAAUAUUGGGAAAAAGUCCAUGUAUCUUAUGAAGCCAAAAAUAAAAUGUUGUUUAAAUUC